CCUACUAUGCCUAACUUAACACACACUAAUCCACCAAUUGUUCGCCAAACAACUACGAGUAAAAACUUAAAACUUAAAAGACUUGACGGUACUUCACACCACCCUAGAGGAGCCUGUCUAAUAACCGAUACUCCACGAUUAACCCCACCCACCCUAGCCCAACAGUCUAUAUACCGCCAUCGCCAGCUUACCUUGUGAAAGAAACAAAGUCAACACAAUAGCCACCACUAACACGAUAGGUCGAGGUGUAACUAAUGAGUGGGAAAAAGAUGGGCUACAUUUUCUAACACAGAAAAUACGAAUAGACUACGAAAAUAGAAACUGAAGGCGGAUUUAGCAGUACGUUAAGAACAAAAUGCUUAACCGAAAUAAAUGUAAUGAAGUGCGUACACACCGCCCGUCAUCCCUGCAGAACUUAAUUUAAUUACAUAAACACACUUAACCCACCAACCAGGGCAAGUC
This 462-nucleotide ribosomal RNA is filed under the name Storeria dekayi. RNAcentral describes it as "partial 12S ribosomal RNA". The record is from RNAcentral. Lineage: Eukaryota; Metazoa; Chordata; Lepidosauria; Squamata; Natricidae.